Rhagoletis zephyria (snowberry fruit fly) is the source of this 129-nucleotide long non-coding RNA. RefSeq lists it as uncharacterized. The record is from RefSeq and is a predicted model, not a curated record. NCBI's taxonomy places the organism in Eukaryota, Metazoa, Arthropoda, Insecta, Diptera, Tephritidae.
CAUUUUUCACUUUUUUAAGGUCGCAUACCUGGAAGGCACGUUGAAGUUGUGUUAGACGAAGUGGAACUAGGUCCAUCGACUUCAGUGAGAAUGAUGGAAAGACGGACGGGAAUACCAAAAACUACAGUU